RNAcentral lists this ribosomal RNA (429 nucleotides) under Bacillota bacterium. RNAcentral's name for it is "Firmicutes bacterium partial 16S ribosomal RNA". It matches the Rfam family "Bacterial small subunit ribosomal RNA", at positions 355 to 776 of the family's 1533-position model. Lineage: Bacteria; Bacillati; Bacillota. The record is from RNAcentral.
UGGGGAAUUUUGGACAAUGGGCGAAAGCCUGAUCCAGCAAUGCCGCGUGUGUGAAGAAGGCCUCCGGGUUGUAAAGCACUUUUGUCCGGAAAGAAAUGGCUCUGGUUAAUACCUGGGGUCGAUGACGGUACUGGAAGAAUAAGGACCGGCUAACUACGUGCCAGCAGCCGCGGUAAUACGUAGGGUCCAAGCGUUAAUCGGAAUUACGGGGCGUAAAGCGUGCGCAGGCGGUGGUGCAAGACCGAUGUGAAAUCCCCGAGCUUAACUUGGGAAUUGCAUUGGUGACUUCACGGCUAGAGUGUGUCAGAGGGGGGUAGAAAUCCACGUGUAGCAGUGAAAUGCGUAGAGAUGUGGAGGAAUACCGAUGGCGAAGGCCGCCCCCUGGGAUAACACUGACGCUCAUGCACGAAAGCGUGGGGAGCAAACAGG